CAGCCGCCGCGGUAAUACGUAGGUGGCAAGCGUUGUCCGGAAUUAUUGGGCGUAAAGCGCGCGCAGGCGGAUCGGUCAGUCUGUCUUAAAAGUUCGGGGCUUAACCCCGUGAUGGGAUGGAAACUGCCAAUCUAGAGUAUCGGAGAGGAAAGUGGAAUUCCUAGUGUAGCGGUGAAAUGCGUAGAUAUUAGGAAGAACACCAGUGGCGAAGGCGACUUUCUGGACGAAAACUGACGCUGAGGCGCGAAAGCCAGGGGAGCGAACGGGAUUAGAUACCCCAGUAGUCCCUGUCUCUUAUACA
RNAcentral lists this ribosomal RNA (301 nucleotides) under uncultured bacterium. Its description in RNAcentral is "partial 16S ribosomal RNA". It matches the Rfam family "Bacterial small subunit ribosomal RNA", at positions 509 to 809 of the family's 1533-position model. The record is from RNAcentral.